AGCCAAAAGGCUGGAGGGGGCGGGGGAGGGCCGCUCUUCCGUGCGCGCAUGCGCAGUCUCUCUCUCUCUCUCUCCUCUCUCUCUCUCUCUCUCUCUCUCUCCCCUCUCUCCCUCCCUCCCUCCCUCCCUCCCUCUCUCUCUCUCUCUCUCCCCCUCUCUCCCUCCCUCCCUCCCUCCCUCCCUCCCUCCCUCUCUCUCUCUCUCUCUCUCCCUCCCUCCCUCUCUCUCUCUCUCUCUCUCUCUCUCUCUCUCUCUCCCUCCCCCCCCCCCCCCCCCCGCCACCCCCCCCCCAGCCCCCGCCCCACGUCUUUUGGGUGAGCAUGCCCUCACGACUUGAGGAUGUAUUUUCCUUUAUUUUCUAAAUAAAACUGAGCUCUAACAUGGAGCUGUAACACUGAGAGUUGUGAUGCACUGAGGGCUUUAACGUCGGUCACUUCAAAUUUUUCUUGUGAGGAGACAGAACCAAGUAAAUUACACACUCCCCCUGACAACUGUAAUUGUAAUCACCUACAGAGGGGCAAGUAGAACUCCUUGUUCCUUUCCUAAAGAUCUGCAAUAACAGAUUAAUAAUAGCCUCAGCCUGUGAAUCCUGUUUCUGUAUCUGAUUGACUCAGGAGUCUCCUUUGAUAACCACAUGCCUGCAGAUGGUACUGUUCUGAGAAGAUCAUCAGCCUUAUCUGAGGACCUGCACUCUGGUCCUCAUACAGGUAACACCUGUACUCUGUCUCUGUGACUAGGCAGGGGUUUUAACAUCUUCAUCCUGGAAAAUUGGAGUCCUUCCCAUGGAAUGUGUGUGUUGAGCUUAGCAGAGACAGCCCUUUCCACUCUGGAGGUAAGACUGGGAAAAUUUGAGUCCAGAGCCCUCUGCUGCCUCUGGGCCCACUGCCUGUCCAAACACACCUGCAGGAGGAGAGAAGGACCUUGUUACAAACAAGAGAAGAGGAGAUCAAAGCAGCUGCAUCAUCUCAUUAACCUUCACCCCCAGAGAAGAUGGCAAGGAAAACUUAGAAACAAACAAAAUCAAGCCACUCUUCCUGCCUUCAGUGGAGCUUCAAACCAGAGGAUGUUACCUGGAACACACUGGAGAGUCAUAACCUUGGAGGGGCAGGAUGGAGGAGCUGAUGAACAAAAGCAGCCAUUUCCAAGAAAGAACAAUGGCAUUCUCUGUGACCUGGAGCACAGCUGGUAACCCUGGAUCCUCAAACAUUAACUCCUUCCUGAAGAUCCACAUUAACAUUUCCUCCAGCCACAUCUACAAUCUACAGCAUCUCAGACAAAUUGAACACCUUGCUUUUUUUUUUAAUUUAAAAAAAUUUUCUUCUAAUUGAAAAAAAAAUUAUGUUUUUUUUAGCAUUAAAGAACAACUCCAGUAAAUUUAUAAAUGUCUAAAUACAUGAGGUUUGUUUGUUGAGAUUUGUAUCUGGAAUUACUAAAUACCCAUGUGACCAUGAGCUGCAGGAGGGUGAAGACUGGAUUUGCUUUGCUCCACACAGUUUGUGUGGCAUGACCCAGUGCCUGGCACACAGUAGGCCCGUGAUAAACAUUGUUAAUCAACUGACUGACAGUAGUUGAAACAGAAAGUCAUCAGUGGGUUGAGAUUGACUUGUAACAUUAACGGAAUCAGUCGGAUCAAAACAUAAAUGUGAUUUUUUUUGUGUCUUACUGAUUUAUUUCCUCUGUUUCCCCUCACAUAGCCCUGAAAACCUAUUUUAAAUUUCAUGAGGAGCAAUGACGUGUUCCACUGUGCCAUCUCAAAUCUCCUUCUCUGAAUUCAGGUUUCAUCUUAAGUGCAGAAAAAGUGAUGCAGGCUCACAGUAGAAAAGUAUAUUUUUGAAAAUACCCAAAUCUCACUG
This is a long non-coding RNA of Bos indicus x Bos taurus (hybrid cattle), 1853 nucleotides long. The record is from Ensembl. NCBI's taxonomy places the organism in Eukaryota, Metazoa, Chordata, Mammalia, Artiodactyla, Bovidae.